Molecule: long non-coding RNA, 348 nt
Organism: Ostrinia nubilalis (European corn borer)
Lineage: Eukaryota; Metazoa; Arthropoda; Insecta; Lepidoptera; Crambidae
Exons: 3
Source: RefSeq, a predicted model, not a curated record
UGCUAAAGUUGAAACACACAAUAAAAGUAGAAUCAAAGUGAACUCUUGUAAAUAUUUAGUACUGUGUGAUAAUCUUAAACAUAAAAAAUAAAUAAGUUAAUGAUGUGUCACCAUUGUGCAUCUCAAUUAUUGAAAGGAAUAAGUAUUUAGAGGCAAACUUGAGCUGGAGGACGUAGAGUGGGCAGGCUUGGAAAGCCUAGGUGGACCGACGAUCUGGUGAAGGUCGCGGGAAGUGGUCGGAGGAGGUCAAAAUGAUUUCGUGCUUACAAUAAAGUAUUUACUUCGCAAACCAUCUUCCAACUACAUGGGUGCGAUUGCUGAAAAUCAUAAUUCUCCUAAAGCAUGUAG